GCAAAGCGUGUGCAAAGUGUGUGCAGAAAGUGUGCAAAGUGUGUGCAAAGAGCGUGCAAAGUGUGUGCAAAGAGCAUGCAAAGAGUGUGCAAAGCGUGUGCAGAGAGAGUACAAAGCAUGUGCAAAGAGCAUGCAAAGAGUGUGCAAAGAGCAUGCAAAGCGUGUGCAGAGAGCGUGCAAAGUGUGUGCAGAGUGUGCAAAGUGCGUACAAAGAGUGUGCAAAGGGUGUGCAAAGAGUGUGCAAAGAGCAUGUGCAAUGAGCGUGCAAAGAGCGUGCAAAGUGUGUGCACAGCAUGUGCAAAGAGCAUGUGCAAUGAGUGUGCAAAGAGUGUGCAAAGAGCAUGCAAAACAUGUGCAGAGAGCGUGCAAAGUGUGUGCAGAGAGUGUGCAAAGCGUGUGCAAAGCGUGUGCAGAAAGCGUGCAAAGCGUGUGCAAAGAGCAUGCAAAGAGCAUGCAAAGUGUGCAAAGUGUGUGCAAAGAGCAUGCAAAGAGUGCAAAGCGUGUGCAGAGAGCGUGCAAAGAGCAUGCAAAGUGUGCAAAGUGUGUGCAAAGAGCAUGCAAAGAGUGUGCAAAGCGUGUGGAGAGAGCGUGCAAAGCGUGUGCAAAGCGUGUGCAGAAAGCGUGCAAAGUGUGUGCAAAGAGCGUGCAAAGUGUGUGCAAAGAGCAUGC
RNAcentral lists this long non-coding RNA (669 nucleotides) under Gallus gallus (chicken). The record is from RNAcentral. Lineage: Eukaryota; Metazoa; Chordata; Aves; Galliformes; Phasianidae.